Long non-coding RNA from Amphiprion ocellaris (clown anemonefish), 370 nucleotides. NCBI's taxonomy places the organism in Eukaryota, Metazoa, Chordata, Actinopteri, Pomacentridae. The record is from Ensembl.
CUGUGCAUUUGCUUUUCUGUAUAACACACAGAGCUCACUGUGACCAGUUUGCAUUUAGACGAGAAAGUGCGUUUUGCAUUGAAACAACGUUGUCAACUGGGAAAUAUGUCCAGUUUACGUAACCGUUUAGUAAAGAUGAAGAUAUCGAGAUGCUUCAGCUACAUGACCAAAUACCGCCAGUUGGGUUUGGAAUUUCAUCAUAUUCAAAUACACACCAGCAGCUCUGGCAUCCCCGAGUGACUUCUCCACGAAUCUAUUCCAUAUUAAUGGGUGUGUUAUCAGUUCUUCUGCAGCUGCCAGUCAGUCACAAACACCGCGGCCCUGCAGGGACUGACCCCUCCUCUAACACUGGUACGGCUCAUACAAUGCC